Molecule: transfer RNA, 89 nt
Filed under: Candidatus Scalindua sp.
Lineage: Bacteria; Pseudomonadati; Planctomycetota; Candidatus Brocadiia; Candidatus Brocadiales; Candidatus Scalinduaceae
Description: tRNA-Ser
Rfam family: tRNA
About the family: Transfer RNA (tRNA) molecules are approximately 80 nucleotides in length.
Source: RNAcentral
GGGAAGGUGGCAGAGUGGCUUAAUGCGCACCCCUGCUAAGGGUGUGAACCCUUUGGGUUCCGAGGGUUCAAAUCCCUCCCUUUCCGCCA